AAGACCUUUAAAUUCAGUCCCGUGAGGCUGAGAAGGUGUCGGAUUUAGGUGACGUAUGCCUACAUGUACCCUCUCGCCAAGCGGUGAGAGGGUUUUUGUGA
Non-coding RNA from Anoxybacillus sp. BCO1, 101 nucleotides. Lineage: Bacteria; Bacillati; Bacillota; Bacilli; Caryophanales; Anoxybacillaceae. The record is from Rfam.